Molecule: unclassified non-coding RNA, 24 nt
Filed under: Mus musculus (house mouse)
Lineage: Eukaryota; Metazoa; Chordata; Mammalia; Rodentia; Muridae
Description: oocyte_clustered_small_RNA10910
Source: RNAcentral
UGCAGGUGGCCACAUUUAUUCAGG